Molecule: ribosomal RNA, 644 nt
Filed under: uncultured marine eukaryote
Lineage: Eukaryota
Description: SSU rRNA
Rfam family: Eukaryotic small subunit ribosomal RNA
Source: RNAcentral
UUGCGGUUAAAAAGCUCGUAGUUGGAUUUCUGUCCGAGGCAGCCGGUCCGCACCUGGUGCGUGUAUCAGGUUUGACUAGGGCAUCCUCUUGGGGAACGUUUCUGUGCUUCAUUGCAUGGGACGGAAUUCAAGACUUUUACUUUGAGGAAAUUAGAGUGUUCACGGCAAGCUAUCGCUUUGAAUACAUUAGCAUGGAAUAAUAAUAUAGGGCGUAAGUCUUAUUUUGUUGGUUUCUAGGACAUACGCAAUGAUUAAUAGGGACAAUUGGGGGCAUUCGUAUUAACGCGUCAGAGGUGGAAUUCUUAGAUUGCGUUACGACGAACUACUGCGAAAGCAUUUGCCAAGGAUGUUUUCAUUGAUCAAGAACGAAAGUAUGGGGAUCGAAGACGAUUAGAUACCGUCGUAGUCUAUACCAUAAACUAUGCCAAUUAGAGAUUGGAGGUCGUUCGUUUUAUGACUCCUUCAGCACCUUAUGAGAAAUCAAAAUUUUUGGGUUCCGGGGGGAGUAUGGUCGCAAGGCUGAAACUUAAAGGAAUUGACGGAAGGGCACCACCAGGAGUGGAGCCUGCGGCUUAAUUUGACUCAACACGGGAAAACUUACCAGGUCCAGACAUAGUAAGGAUUGACAGAUUGAUAGCUCUUUC